CUAUGUUGCUGAAUUUCCCAACAAAAAUGCUGGAUGUCCCUAGCAGCAUUAUGGUUGUAUAGGCUGCUGCAUGGCCCGUUGUAUUUUCGGCCCAUUUAGUAUUUUGGUUAGGAAGCCUUUCGAAAAAAUAAUAUUGUGAAAAUUUUGGUUAAAAAUACCUUUUCUAUAAAUGUUUGGGUACGGUUGACUGUGUGAUUAACUUUAUGUUCUUUUGUUUGUCUCAUGCCAUGAUCACUCCUUGUGAUUCAAGCCAUCCUUCUCAGUUUUUUUUAAUAAUAAUUUGGUUGUUUUGGUGAUUAAUUUGUUUAUGUUCUUGUCUACUUUGGUUAGGGGUACCUUUUUCUAUAAUUGUUUGCGUACAGGUGAACAGGCCAUUAACUUUAUGUUCUUUUGUUUGUGACCUGGCUUAAUCACUCCUUACAUUUAAGUCAGCGUUCUUAGGAGCAAUUACUUGUAAUUUUGUUUUUUAUUUUUAUUUUUAUUUUUAUUUUCUAUUUUUAAUUUGAAAUCAUAAAACUGUUAUUGUUAUUUUUCUAUUUUUAAUUAUUUGAAUAGGAAAAACUUUGAAAAUAAUAUUAUUUGUUUUUUUUUUCUGUUUCCUGUACAAACAUUUGAAAACAGGAAACAAAUGUAAGGUGACGGAUUUUGUAAUUUAAAAUAUAAAUAGAAAACCAAAACGGAGACCAAAAUUUCAAGCAAACGUGUUAUGUGUCUUGCGAACAUUAGAAGGUAGCAGGUAUAAAUUUUAAUGUUAAUCAAGCUAGUGGCAACAUCAACUGUAUUCUAAUAAUGGUCAGUUUUUCUUUUUAUUUUCAUUUUUAAAUUAAGCUG
Molecule: long non-coding RNA, 831 nt
Filed under: Glycine max (soybean)
Lineage: Eukaryota; Viridiplantae; Streptophyta; Magnoliopsida; Fabales; Fabaceae
Description: long non-coding RNA (GMAX_LNC002065)
Source: RNAcentral